GUUUUUGUAGUUGAAGUACAACGGUGGUUUUUCGUGCCAUUAGUUAUGGUUAGAGUCCAUGCGGAAAUA
Molecule: transfer RNA, 69 nt
Filed under: Miopithecus ogouensis (Gabon talapoin)
Lineage: Eukaryota; Metazoa; Chordata; Mammalia; Primates; Cercopithecidae
Description: tRNA-Glu
Rfam family: tRNA
About the family: Transfer RNA (tRNA) molecules are approximately 80 nucleotides in length. Their secondary structure includes four short double-helical elements and three loops (D, anti-codon, and T loops).
Source: RNAcentral